CAGAAAGACCCUAUGAAGCUUUACUGUAACCUGGAAUUGCUCUCAAGCUUAUCUUGCGCAGCUUAGGUGGGAGACGUUGAACUUCUUCUUCCGGGAAGGAGGGAGUCAUCAGUGAGAUACCACUCUUGGUAAGCUAGAGCGCUCAUUUCUAACCGUCAACCGGUAGAAAGACAGUUUCAGGCGGGCAGUUUGACUGGGGCAGUCACCUCCCAAAAGGUAAUGGAGGUGUACAAAGGUUCGCUCAGGCUGGACGGAAAUCAGCCAUAGAGUGUAAAAGCAUAAGCGAGCUUGACUGCGAGACUGACAUGUCAAGCAGAGACGAAAGUCGGUUUUAGUGAUCCGACGGUGCUGAGUGGAAAGGCCGUCGCUCAACGGAUAAAAGUUACUCUAGGGAUAACAGGCUGA
Molecule: ribosomal RNA, 405 nt
Filed under: Teleaulax sp.
Lineage: Eukaryota; Cryptophyceae; Pyrenomonadales; Geminigeraceae
Description: partial large subunit ribosomal RNA
Rfam family: Bacterial large subunit ribosomal RNA
Source: RNAcentral